CCUACGGGAGGCAGCAGUGGGGAAUAUUGGGCAAUGGGAGGAAACUCUGACCCAGCGACGCCGCGUGCGGGAUGAAGGCCUUCGGGUUGUAAACCGCUUUCAGUAGGGAAGAAGCGAAAGUGACGGUACCUACAAAAGAAGCACCGGCUAACUAUGUGCCAGCAGCCGCGGUAAUACAUAGGGUGCAAGCGUUGUCCGGAAUUAUUGGGCGUAAAGAGCUCGUAGGUCGUUUGUUACGUCGGAUGUGAAAACCUGAGGCUCGAACCUCAGGCCUGCAUUCGAUACGGGCAAACUAGAGUUUGGUAGGGGUAGACUGGAAUUCCUGGUGUAGCGGUGGAAUGCGCAGAUAUCAGGAGGAACACCAAUGGCGAAGGCAGGUCUCUGGGCCAAUACUGACACUGAGGAGCGAAAGUCUGGGGAGCGAACAGGAUUACGAUACCCUGGUAGUCCAGACCGUAAACGGUGGGCACUAGUUGUAGGGAACCUUCCACGGUUUCUGUCGACGCAGCUAACGCAUUAAGUGCCCCGCCUGGGGGAGGUACGUAGUCGCGAAGAAGUUAAACGUAACAAAUAGAAGUAAGUACGGCGUUGAGACGUUGCGAACGGACGACGACGAGGGAGGAGG
RNAcentral lists this ribosomal RNA (625 nucleotides) under uncultured bacterium. RNAcentral describes it as "bacterial SSU rRNA". The stretch from base 1 to 530 matches the Rfam family "Bacterial small subunit ribosomal RNA", at positions 338 to 873 of the family's 1533-position model. The record is from RNAcentral.